RNAcentral lists this ribosomal RNA (431 nucleotides) under uncultured bacterium. RNAcentral's name for it is "bacterial SSU rRNA". It matches the Rfam family "Bacterial small subunit ribosomal RNA", at positions 29 to 506 of the family's 1533-position model. The record is from RNAcentral.
ACGAACGCUGGCGGCAGGCCUAACACAUGCAAGUCGAACGCGUCCUUCGGGACGAGUGGCAGACGGGUGAGUAACGCGUGGGAACGUACCCUUUGGUUCGGAACAACGCCGGGAAACUGGCGCUAAUACCGGAUAAGCCCUUCGGGGGAAAGAUUUAUCGCCAAAGGAUCGGCCCGCGUCAGAUUAGCUAGUUGGUGAGGUAAUGGCUCACCAAGGCUGCGAUCUGUAGCUGGUCUGAGAGGAUGAUCAGCCACACUGGGACUGAGACACGGCCCAGACUCUUACGGGAGGCAGCAGUGGGGAAUCUUGGACAAUGGGCGAAAGCCUGAUCCAGCCAUGCCGCGUGGAUGAUGAAGGCCCUAGGGUUGUAAAAUCCUUUCGACGGGGAAGAUAAUGACGGUACCCGUAGAAGAAGCUCCGGCUAACUUCGU